GUGGGGAAUAUUGGACAAUGGGGGCAACCCUGAUCCAGCCAUGCCGCGUGUGUGAAGAAGGCCUUCGGGUUGUAAAGCACUUUAAGUGGGGAGGAAGGUUCGCUGGCUAAUAUCCAGCGGAAUUGACGUUACCUGCAGAAUAAGCACCGGCUAACUCUGUGCCAGCAGCCGCGGUAAUACAGAGGGUGCAAGCGUUAAUCGGAAUUACUGGGCGUAAAGCGCGCGUAGGCGGUUGUGUAAGUUGGAGGUGAAAUCCCCGGGCUUAACCUGGGCACUGCCUUCAAAACUGCACGGCUAGAGUAUGGGAGAGGAAGGUAGAAUUCCAGGUGUAGCGGUGAAAUGCGUAGAGAUCUGGAGGAAUACCGAUGGCGAAGGCAGCCUUCUGGCCUAAUACUGACGCUGAGGUGCGAAAGCAUGGGGAGCAAACAGGAUUAGAAACCCCUGUAGUCC
This 450-nucleotide ribosomal RNA is filed under the name uncultured bacterium. RNAcentral's name for it is "partial 16S ribosomal RNA". It matches the Rfam family "Bacterial small subunit ribosomal RNA", at positions 354 to 796 of the family's 1533-position model. The record is from RNAcentral.